AUUAAUAAAGAAUAUUAGAAAGAAAAAAAGAAACAGCAAUAUUAAUAUUUUGCUGAUCAGUGAACAUGAUGUUAGAAAUCGUCAGGCAUUGGUCCUAAUUACGAUCGCAUACAUAAUAUGCGUAAGAUACAUGAUUUACCUCAAACAAGAUGAUGCUGACCGAAAUAUCGUGGGAAACUUUCUCAUAAUCUUGCAUUGUUGUGAGUCACGCAUGAAACUCAUAAUCAUUCACUAUUUAUGUACGUUAAAUAACUAAAAUGAAUAAUGACAUGUAACAUAAAUUACGAUAUGAAAUAAAACUAAUUCCCUAAUACAAACUACAGAGAUGAAGACAGCAACAAA
Bombyx mori (domestic silkworm) is the source of this 342-nucleotide long non-coding RNA. RefSeq lists it as uncharacterized. NCBI's taxonomy places the organism in Eukaryota, Metazoa, Arthropoda, Insecta, Lepidoptera, Bombycidae. The transcript is spliced from 2 exons. The record is from RefSeq and is a predicted model, not a curated record.